UCUACGGGAGGCAGCAGUGGGGAAUAUUGCACAAUGGGCGCAAGCCUGAUGCAGCCAUGCCGCGUGUAUGAAGAAGGCCUUCGGGUUGUAAAGUACUUUCAGCGGGGAGGAAGGUGUUGAGGUUAAUAACCUCAGCAAUUGACGUUACCCGCAGAAGAAGCACCGGCUAACUCCGUGCCAGCAGCCGCGGUAAUA
This 195-nucleotide ribosomal RNA is filed under the name uncultured bacterium. Its description in RNAcentral is "partial 16S ribosomal RNA". It matches the Rfam family "Bacterial small subunit ribosomal RNA", at positions 338 to 525 of the family's 1533-position model. The record is from RNAcentral. RNAcentral also lists the same sequence under 1 other name.